RNAcentral lists this non-coding RNA (45 nucleotides) under Echinostoma caproni. Lineage: Eukaryota; Metazoa; Platyhelminthes; Trematoda; Plagiorchiida; Echinostomatidae. The record is from RNAcentral.
GCACUGCUGAUGAGACCCACCCAGGUGGAAACAAUUGUCCAAUGC